AUACGUAGGGGGCGAGCGUUGUCCGGAGUUACUGGGCGUAAAGGGCGCGCAGGCGGCCAUUCAAGUCAUGGGUGAAAUACCGGGGCUUAACCUCGGGGGUGCCUGUGAAACUGGGUGGCUUGAGGGCCGGAGAGGACAGUGGAAUUCCCGGUGUAGCGGUGAUAUGCGUAGAGAUCGGGAGGAACACCAGUGGCGAAGGCGACUGUCUGGACGGCACCUGACGCUCAGGCGCGAAAGCCCGGGGAGCAAACGGGAUUAGAUACCCCGGUAGUCCGGGCCGUAAACGAUGAGUGCUAGGUGUGGCGGGUAUCGACCCCCGCCGUGCCGGAGUUAACGCAAUAAGCACUCCGCCUGGGGAGUACGGCCGCAAGGCUGAA
This 377-nucleotide ribosomal RNA is filed under the name uncultured bacterium. RNAcentral describes it as "bacterial SSU rRNA". It matches the Rfam family "Bacterial small subunit ribosomal RNA", at positions 523 to 898 of the family's 1533-position model. The record is from RNAcentral.